UUUCAUCACAUGGUAAGAUAUCAAUGCGUAAAAUUACGAUACAAGUUCUUGAUAUCUUAACGCAUGAUGCAAACAUGGCAUAAUGCAAAUUUGGCAAUCAUAGCAUCAAUUCAUAUAAGCAUUGCAAAUAUGGCAAUCAUAUCAAUUCAUAUAUCUCUUGAUGAUGCAAGCAUGGGAUAAUCAUAGCAUAGUGUUUAUAGCAUCAAUUUAUAUAUUUCUCCCCUUUUUUAAGUGUUUCAUCUUAAGUGAUCGAUUUCAUGUUAGCAUGCCUUUUCAUUUAUGUCAAAUGAAAACAUGCAUCAA
Molecule: long non-coding RNA, 303 nt
Filed under: Musa acuminata (dwarf banana)
Lineage: Eukaryota; Viridiplantae; Streptophyta; Magnoliopsida; Zingiberales; Musaceae
Description: long non-coding RNA (MACU_LNC001967)
Source: RNAcentral